UGGUUCUGGCAUCGAUGAAGAACGCAGCGAAAUGCGAUAAGUAAUGUGAAUUGCAGAAUUCAGUGAAUCAUCGAAUCUUUGAACGCACAUUGCGCCCAUGAGUAUUCUCUUGGGCAUGCCUGUUCGAGCGUCAUUUCGACCCUUAAGCAUAGCUUAGUGUUGGGAAUCUACUGUCUGUAGUUCCUGAAAACCAACGGCGGAUUUAUAGUAUCCUCUGAGCGUAGUAAUCUUUAUCUCGCUUCUGUUAGGUGCUGUAAUUCUAGCCGCUAAACCCCCCAUUUUUUUUAAAGGUUUGACCUCGGAUCAGGUAGGAAUACCCGCUGA
This 324-nucleotide unclassified non-coding RNA is filed under the name uncultured fungus. RNAcentral describes it as "partial contains 5.8S ribosomal RNA and internal transcribed spacer 2". The stretch from base 1 to 133 matches the Rfam family "5.8S ribosomal RNA", at positions 22 to 154 of the family's 154-position model. Lineage: Eukaryota; Fungi. The record is from RNAcentral.